AGGGCAUUAAUAUUUAAUCACACCUCUGAUUGCAUACAAAGGCAAUUCGAGGGCAUAUUUUCACCUUAAGGUCUAGUAAUUUAAUAACACUUAUUGAACCUGCAUUUGUAUUAGACCUCACUCUGUUUUAAUACCAUGUUGCUUUAUAUAGGGUCCAUUUUUAAUGGGGACCAAAUAGUCUAUUUUUUGGUUCUGUGCUUUCUUCUACAAACCACAGGGCAUGAAGGUGCUUAAUCGGUGCCCUUUGAUGAAGAACAACAGAGCCAGAAAAAGCGUUUCUAUCAGACAACGAAAACCACCUGAUUGAAAUCUUCUCUCUGUUGACAAUGGUGUCACCGCAAGGAUUACCCUCACCCUUUAUCGCCGAUAUCAGAGAAUAUGCUGCAGAGAAUUCCCGCGUGUUCAGAAGGCAGCUCUGAGGCAAACCCUUCAUCUGAAAUGUCAGGAGUACGUUCUGCCUCCUCAAGUGCCAACCUCGCUAGUCGUGGAGUUCGAGUCCGAAAAACCCAACAGAUGACACAUCAGGCGCCCUGUUUCCCUGAGUCACACCCAAGAGCAGGAUGCACCUGAUGACUUUUAUCUUACGCGGCGCGGAGGGGUGCGGGCGCCCGCAGGCCCACCUGUGAUGCCGUCCGCUGAGGUUCUCCUCACUCAUUUAAGAGACGGCACGGAUGUUGGAGAACACCUCACGGAUGUGUUAUUUUCAAGUCCACAGUCCUCUCCCAUGUAACGUUUUCUCCAUGACCCCCAUGUGCACAGGGAGGAAACUGCAGUCCUCACGAGUCCCGCGUCAGUGAACUAGACGGGAGAAACCUUUCACACGCACACACGCAUCAAAUCACCACGAGGCACACUUUAAACGCCUUUCGAUCGUGUGCGUCCAUCAUACUCAAUAAAGCGGAGGUUUUAAAAUCUGUGACUAUGCCUUCAUCUGCGCCUAUGUACUUAUUAAAAAUAAGGUGAAAUUAUCUACAUUCAAUAGGAAAACGGCAAAAUUCAUAUACAGACACAGAUAACACACACGUGUGCAUGCACACACACACGUAUAGAAAGUGUAUACGGAAUAGAAAAAGGGGCCAACCCUCCAAUUAAACAUCUAGUUCUAGAAAUACCUAUUUUUAAAAAAAGAUCUCCCCAAAAGCAGUGUGUAGACCCUCCGGCGGCCGUCAGCGUGGUGCCUGCGGCCCCGGGCCCGCCCGGCCUCACAGUGCCCGCGCCCGAGACGCACACACGGCCCAGCCUCACGGUCUGACCGCGGCAAUCGAUCGUGGCAAAGUCGUUGGGCAGCGGCGCCGGC
Molecule: long non-coding RNA, 1297 nt
Filed under: Suricata suricatta (meerkat)
Lineage: Eukaryota; Metazoa; Chordata; Mammalia; Carnivora; Herpestidae
Description: lncRNA (ENSSSUG00005008873.1)
Source: RNAcentral